ACUUUAUGGAUAUAUUGGAGGGGAGGAAAGUUUUCAUGGUCCUCAAAAUAGAUUGCAAAAGCUUAAGAUAAACAUAGCUGGAGUUUCAUUUUUGAUAAUUUGGUUGAUGCUAACCUGCCAAGUCAUUUGAUUAAUAUGAUCAAGUCAUUUGAUUAAUAUGAUCAUGCAUUGUGUAUCUUCUGCUAGUUUUAGAGUGCUCUAGAAUGGGGAACCUUCUGAUUAUUUCUCCCUCUUAAGAAGCUUGUAGCAAGGUUGUCUCCUUUCACCCCACUUGUUUGUCCUGUGUAUUGAGCAUCUUG
RNAcentral lists this unclassified non-coding RNA (299 nucleotides) under Hevea brasiliensis (rubber tree). Lineage: Eukaryota; Viridiplantae; Streptophyta; Magnoliopsida; Malpighiales; Euphorbiaceae. The record is from RNAcentral.